AUGACCAUGAGAUGCUCUUCAUCCCGGGUUUCGGCAUCGCCUUCCUCCUCCAGCAGCGCCGCGAACGCCUCCUCGUCGUCCGAGUCCAUCGCCGAGCAGACAAAUCACCGAACACCUAGCGGGCGUGGUAGGCGCGCAGCCGUCGGUAACCCGCCCUGCACGGCCGGAGCGCCGGAAAGCUCGCCCAGGAACGGGGUGGAUGAUGCCGCGGCGGAACCCUCUCUCUUUUCCGGCGAGGGAAUGGCCUAUCUAGCGGUGGUUAGGGGGGGGGAGGGUCGGCGCCGGACCGGCAAGGCAGCGGGAGGUGAUAUGUCUCCAACGUAUCUAUAA
This 330-nucleotide ribosomal RNA is filed under the name Triticum aestivum (bread wheat). Its description in RNAcentral is "partial small subunit ribosomal RNA". The record is from RNAcentral. Lineage: Eukaryota; Viridiplantae; Streptophyta; Magnoliopsida; Poales; Poaceae.